RNAcentral lists this ribosomal RNA (468 nucleotides) under uncultured bacterium. Its description in RNAcentral is "partial 16S ribosomal RNA". It matches the Rfam family "Bacterial small subunit ribosomal RNA", at positions 28 to 507 of the family's 1533-position model. The record is from RNAcentral.
GACGAACGCUGGCGGCGUGCUUAACACAUGCAAGUCGAACGGAAAGGCCCUGCUUUUGUGGGGUGCUCGAGUGGCGAACGGGUGAGUAACACGUGAGUAACCUGCCCUUGACUUUGGGAUAACUUCAGGAAACUGGGGCUAAUACCGGAUAGGAGCUCCUGCUGCAUGGUGGGGGUUGGAAAGUUUCGGCGGUUGGGGAUGGACUCGCGGCUUAUCAGCUUGUUGGUGGGGUAGUGGCUUACCAAGGCUUUGACGGGUAGCCGGCCUGGGAGGGUGACCGGCCACAUUGCGCCUGCGAUACGGCCCAGACUCCUACGGGAGGCAGCGGGGGGAAAUAUUGCACAAUGGGCGGAAGCCUGAUGCAGCGGCGCCGCGUGCGGGAUGACGGCCUUCGGGUUGUAAACCGCUUUCGCCUGUGACGAAGCGUGAGUGACGGUAAUGAGUAAAGAAGCACCGGCUAACUACGUG